Molecule: ribosomal RNA, 528 nt
Filed under: Empicoris sp.
Lineage: Eukaryota; Metazoa; Arthropoda; Insecta; Hemiptera; Reduviidae
Description: partial large subunit ribosomal RNA
Rfam family: Eukaryotic large subunit ribosomal RNA
Source: RNAcentral
AAAACCCAAAGGCGAAAUGAAAGUAAAUAGUGGAAUAUUGAUUUUUUUCAGUAUCCAUUAUAGGGAAGAUGGAAACCAUAUCGAUAGUAAUUUUAUAGCAUUUAUGUUAUUAAUUCUAUGUGAUAUUGGUUUCCCGCACUCCCGGGGCGCUUGUUUCUCGCAUUGCGAGUUUCUGCGCACCUAGAGCGUACACGAUGAUACCCGAAAGAUGGUGAACUAUGCCUGGCCAGGACGAAGCCAGGGGAAACCCUGGUGGAGGUCCGCAGCGAUUCUGACGUGCAAAUCGAUCGUCGGAGCUGGGUAUAGGGGCGAAAGACCAAUCGAACCAUCUAGUAGCUGGUUCCCUCUGAAGUUUCCCUCAGGAUAGCUUGCACUCGGUUGAGACGAGUCUCAUCCGGUAGAGCGAAUGAUUAGAGGCAUUGGGGUCGAAACGACCUCAACCUAUUCUCAAACUCCAAAUAGAUGAGACCCCCGGCUUUCUUAAAAAUGAAGCCGUGGGUAUCGGAUCAGAGUGCCAAGUGGGCCAAU